RNAcentral lists this ribosomal RNA (381 nucleotides) under uncultured bacterium. Its description in RNAcentral is "bacterial SSU rRNA". It matches the Rfam family "Bacterial small subunit ribosomal RNA", at positions 28 to 409 of the family's 1533-position model. The record is from RNAcentral.
GAUGAACGCUAGCGGCAGGCUUAAUACAUGCAAGUCGAGGGGCAGCGGGGUAGCAAUACCGCCGGCGACCGGCAAACGGGUGCGGAACACGUACAGAACCUUCCUUUAAGCGGGGGAUAGCCCAUAGAAAUGUGGAUUAAUACCCCAUAAUAAUACUAGCUGGCAUCAGCUGGUAUUUAAAGAUUUAUCACUUAAAGAUGGCUGUGCGGCUGAUUAGGUAGUUGGUGCGGGAACGGCCCACCAAGCCAGCGAUCAGUAACUGGUGUGAGAGCACGACCAGUCACACGGGCACUGAGACACGGGCCCGACUCCUACGGGAGGCAGCAGUAAGGAAUAUGGUCAAUGGACGCAAGUCUGAACCAGCCAUGCCGCGUGAAGGAU